ACUUUAAAACGAGUUCGAAUUGCAAAACCACGUUCUAUUGAAAUUAGAAAACAAGUCCUAACCCAUUGUGGAUUCAUCAACCUAAAUCCUACUCCUAGCCCAAUUGGGCAAAGCCCAAACAAAAAAAUAAAACCCUUCUCUUCUCUAUUCUUCACGUGAAAACCAAAAGAAAGAGAGAAAACCCUCCUUCAACCUCACGCAACUCAGCUUUUUUGCUCUCCCGCUGCUCGCCGCUCAGCCGACCACCAUCAACACGCAACCAGUGACUCAAGGCCCGACCACCGCACGCAACCGUGCUCAGCCUUGCCGCGAGCCACCGCUGUCCGCCGGCCAGCACUCCCCUUAAACUCUUGAAUUGGCGGAGAAUUCUCUUUAGGCGACUUUUGAAAGUGUUAAAGUGGCCUAUCAAUUUGUUUAUACAAGUCUCUAAGGAUCAAUAAGCGUUGCCCAUCUACAGGUUUGAAGAUGAUGCAUCAUUGGGAUCGGGAUUAGAGAGCUUGUAGUUCUAUUUGUUUAAUUAAGUGAUUUAAUUUGUUAACUUGGAUUUGAAAUUUGUCGUACUAUUCGUAUUUCCUUAUUUCAGUUAAUUGGUUUGGACCUAAUAUGUAAUAGAUUAUUUAUGAACCUAAAAGUUAGUUUUAUGUUUUCCGCUGCAAAAUUCUGAAUAAGCCGUAACGUUUUCACACGGGCGAUAAUACUUUGAUAAUUCCCUACAGUUAUAUUUA
Molecule: long non-coding RNA, 725 nt
Organism: Spinacia oleracea (spinach)
Lineage: Eukaryota; Viridiplantae; Streptophyta; Magnoliopsida; Caryophyllales; Amaranthaceae
Exons: 4
Source: RefSeq, a predicted model, not a curated record